Molecule: ribosomal RNA, 377 nt
Filed under: Paralembus sp.
Lineage: Eukaryota; Ciliophora; Oligohymenophorea; Philasterida; Philasteridae
Description: partial small subunit ribosomal RNA
Rfam family: Eukaryotic small subunit ribosomal RNA
Source: RNAcentral
AUUCCAGCUCCAAUAGCGUAUAUUAAAGUUGUUGCAGUUAAGAAGCUCGUAGUUGAACUUCUGUGUGUGCCCAGUUCUGGCUUCGGUCAAGCUGUGGUGCUCACAUCCGCUUGCAAACCUAGUCCGGCCUUCAUUGGUCGACUAGGGGAGUAGGCUUUUUACUUUGAAAAAAUUAGAGUGUUUCAAGCAGGCAAUGGCUCGAACACAUUAGCAUGGAAUAAUGGAAUAGGACUUUUGUCCAUUUGGUUGGUUAUUGGACAUGAGUAAUGAUUAACAGGGACAGUUGGGGGCAUUAGUAUUUAAUUGUCAGAGGUGAAAUUCUUGGAUUUAUUAAAGACUAACUUAUGCGAAAGCAUUUGCCAAGGAUGUUUUCAUCA